Molecule: ribosomal RNA, 1176 nt
Filed under: Platycnemis acutipennis
Lineage: Eukaryota; Metazoa; Arthropoda; Insecta; Odonata; Platycnemididae
Description: partial 16S ribosomal RNA
Source: RNAcentral
UAAUGAUUUAAUUACUUAAUGUUUUAAUUGUGUUUUAUAAAAAAUAUUUUUGUUUUUAGUAUUUAGAAUUAAAAUUAGGUUUUUAGUGAUAGUUUAUUUGUACCGUGAGGGGGUUUUGAAAUAUUUUGAAAAAAUUAAUUUUAGGAAAGUAUACUUUAUUUGUAUUACCUUUUGUAUCAGGGUUGAUCAACUUUAUUUAAUUUAUUUUGAAUUCUCGAUUUCAGAAGAGCUACUUUUAUUUGCUGUUGCAUAACCACUAAUAAUUUUUUAUUAGAGGAGAAAUUCUAUUCGUUUUUAUAGGUAUCUGGUUUUUUAAGAAAUAAAUUUAAUUUAGGUAAUACUUUUUAUUUAUUUAAUUUAAUAAAUAUAUAUUAAUUGUUGCUAAUCUAACAGGGGAUAAGCUCUGUUAGAAUUCUAUAACUUCAUUUUAAUUUAAUUGUUGUAGGGUUAAAAUCAUCCAUCUUAUAAUUACGUUAUAGUAUAUAUUAAUAUAUUAUUGAUUUAUUUUUGUUUAGAUUUUUAUUAAAAUAUAAUGAUUAAUUAUAAAUCAUUAGUAAUAAUGAUCAAAUUAGUAUAAUUUUAUGUUCAUCAUUUAUUAAAUGUUAUUAUUAAAUAAGGAACUCGGCAAAUAAGCGCUCGCCUGUUUAUCAAAAACAUGUCYUCUUGGUUUAUUWUAGGARGUCUGACCUGCCCAGUGAAGUAAUUUUUAACGGCCGCGGUAMUAUUGACCGUGCAAAGGUAGCAUAAUCAUUAGUCUUUUAAUAGGGGGCUGGAAUGAAAGGUUUAACGAAUCAUUAGCUGUCUCAUUUUUAUAAUUUAAAAUUUAAUUUUUAAGUUAAAAAGCUUAAAUGUUGUUGGAGGACGAGAAGACCCUAUAGAGCUUUAUAUUAAAUUUUUUAAUAAAAUGUUGAUUUAUGUCUUAAGUAUUAGAAUAAUUUAGUAUUGUGUUGGGGUGACAAAAAUAAAUAAUUAACUGUUUUAUUUUUUAAACAUAAAUUUAUGAGUUUUUGAUCCAUUAUUAUUGAUUAUUAGAUUAAGUUACCUUAGGGAUAACAGCGUAAUCUUUUUUUGGAGUUCAAAUUUACAAAAAGGCUUGCGACCUCGAUGUUGGAUUAAGAUUAUAAUUUGGUGCAGUAGCUAAAUUAAUAGGUCUGUUCGACCUUUAAAUUCUUACCU